Prionailurus viverrinus (fishing cat) is the source of this 3148-nucleotide long non-coding RNA. RefSeq lists it as uncharacterized. Lineage: Eukaryota; Metazoa; Chordata; Mammalia; Carnivora; Felidae. The transcript has 3 exons. The record is from RefSeq and is a predicted model, not a curated record.
UGCCCGACCGCCAGGCGGUGCCCACAGGGCCUCCUGCAGGACUAGCUGAGCCGCAGCCUUCUCUGUACCUGCUGGGCUGCCCCCUACUACCGGCAUCAUUCUGUGCCUUUCGAGGUCCCAGAAGGCUGGAGGGCCACAUUCACCCAGACACCGGCAAAAGCCACUUGAAAAGGGAUGUGUUCCAACCAGGUCAGUCGUGGUGAUUCCCCCCCGCCCCCCCGACAUCCAGUCCACCACCAGGUGCUGGGGAUUUUCCUCAGAAGCUUCUGCAUCCAGCCCCUCCUCUGCACCUCCACUGCCUUGUCAAACCCUCAGCAUCAGUCAACAGGACGCCAGCAGUAACUUCCUAUCCCGUGGCGGCUGAUUCUCCAAGUGACAGCUCUGUGCCUCUCCUGCACCUGCUGACAAGCCAACUGAUGUCCUUGGCCCAUAGGUAAUCCACACUCCAGGAGUGAUGCCCCAAAGCGCCCACCUUCCCACUCACCUGGAAGAAAUUCUGAGGCACAACCACCCCUGAUCACAGAAAAGGAGAAAGAACAGAAAGAUACUCCUGAAGCCAAGGUCAAAAGGAAGAGACCAAAGAGAGCACACAAAGGCCAAGGAGACUAAGAAGCAGACCAAUAAUGAGUUAACAGGUAAAACAAUCGGGGACACCUAACCUCUCCCCAGCCCACUGUUCAUAUUUGUGGUGGACGUAAUUUGAUAAGACAUAAAAACUUCCAAAAAUUUGUAGCCCCUGGUGGGUUGGAGAGAGGAAGCAGAAUCCAGGAGUCUGGAAAUCAACACCUAAAAUCCAGAGGCAGGAGCUAAGCCGUGAGGCGUGGGGACGGAAGACAGAACUCCCCACAGGAAACUAGAUCACCUACUCCAUGGACCUCAUCUGGAUGUCUCCAAUCUGCUGGAAGGCACAAGGCUUGAGGCAGACAGGAUGCUCUCCCCACCCGCUAGGCCUCCCUGCUGUCCUCCUCUGAGAUGGCUGGGCUCUUCCAGGGGGUGGACAGUCAAGGCCAGACUCACCUGGACACGUGGAAGGGUGCUUGAGGACAUAGAUGACAGCCUCAGCCACAUCUUCAGGUUUGAGACACUGGAGAGUAUGGGAGGAAAGAGGGAUGGUGAGGGCAGAGUGAACCUCCCACCUCUGAUGUCCUCUCCAACAUCUUCAUCCCCACCCCAACCCUCCAGGAGGGGUGACAGGCUGGCUAGAAGAGUGUGGUCUAAAGGCCAGGGUUCCCUCUGCAUUCACUUAGGGAGUGAGUGGCUCACUGGCCUCAGAGUGAGGCCUCACCUUUAUGCGUUCAUAGAUGGAAGCUGCCUUCUCAGGGUCCUUGUUGUGGAGUUUGAAGGAGAAUUGUGUCUCCGCCACUUCUGGAGAGAUGCACUGGACCAACAGAGAGGGCCUGCUCAGGAGCUGAGCUGAGCCCUGCCUCCAUCCCAGUCAGAAGCUAGACUUAGGGGAGAGACAGGAUGGAAAACACGGGGGCCCCCCUGCUUCACAGUGAUGGCUGCCCAAUGUCCAGCAGCCACCUCCUCCUCCCAAAGCUGCCACUAGCAAUGAUCACAAUGACACCUACCACCUAUGGAGCCCUUCUCAGGUAAGUGUUUUACAAAAUGGUGUCCCUUAAGACUUCAUCACUGGGUUGGUAUCACCAUCUCCAUUUUACAAAUGAGUAAGGCUGAGGCUUGGAGGGGUUAAGUGAGUUGCCCAAGGUCAUGUGGCCUUUCAGGGAAGAGCCCAGAGUCUGGGUUUACAGCCACAGUUUCCCACAGCCCCUGCUCUCCUUCAGUCUCACCUACUGUGUUCCCUUCUGGUCAGCCCCCUCCCAUCUCAAAGUCAGUGACAUGAAGCUCAAAGGGCUACUCAGGGUCAUGCCAGCAGCAGCAGAGCCCAGGAGCUCUGUGCCCCUCACACUCCCAGCAGGGCAUCCUGAACAGUAUGAGUGUGGGGUGCAGAAGGCCUGUGCCUACCCUGUCCCCACCAGGGCCAGGCCUCACCCUCACUGUGGCUCAAAUGUGGGUCUGGGCCUCCCGAAGCUCUUGCCUCAGUCCCUCUGUCAGUGUGGUGAUGGCAUACUUGGUAGCACUAUAGAAAUGGAUCACAGAGUGGGGUGACACUUGGUGACCAGACAUGCUGCGUGGAGGAAAGGAGGGGAAAGAAGAGAGUGAAGCUGCUGAUGGACCAGCAGUGCCCCCUGCUGGACCAGUCAGCCCCACCACCUAGAUGCUGCAGGAAAGUCUUCUCAAGGGGACCUCUUUACAGGCCAUCCUGGUGGCCCAAUGAUGUAGCUCCAGCUAUUCAAGCAGCUCCUGUAAGUCCUGCUCUUCCUAGAAGUCCAACUAGGGGCUGGCACUUGAUAUACACUAUUUUUCUCUCGCCAUAAUUGUGCCAUUUGGCUGUUAACUGGGUAUUAAGUCCCUAUUUCACCACCAAUGAAACUGAUGUCCAAAGAGGUCAAAUGAACUGCAACAGAUCACUCAGCUUGGAGGGUGAGUGGUGAUCUGAGCUUUAGCCCUUGUCCACCUGCCUCACCUGUUGAUAUUAAUGAUGUGCCCGUCAUCCACCUUCCAUUCCUUCAUGGACUGGUAGGCUUCCCGUGUGCAGAUGCUGAGGGCCAGCAUGUUCACCUGCAGCCCAGGGAGGGCAGUGGGGUAUCUCUAGCUUGGGCCCAUCUGAGCAGGUAAUAGAGCCACAGAGCCCGUCCAGGGGAGUGGCAUUCCAAAACAGUGUCCAGGUCCUACCUGAGACCAACAAUGGUUCCAGGGUACCUUGCCUUAGGUGCCUCUCCCCCUAAAGCCACCAGCCCCAGCUGAGAGCAGUGCUAAUUCCUCUCCCCAGGUAACCCCCACCUCCAAGAUUCUGCAAACAGCAGUGGGAAACUCCCAAACUCAUCCAUGACCCAGGAAACCUCCCUGUCUUGGAUGUCUCCUCUACAAACAACAGAACCUCUGCCUUAGAGAACUAUCUCCUUUUCUUCCUCAAAUACCCUCUCCUCUCUUAUCUGGGUCAGCUUCCCUGGCCUUGCUCUCUAAAAAGCCUAAAAUCCAGGGCGCCUGGGUGGCUCAGUCAGUUAAGCGUCUGACUUCAGCUCAGGUCAUGAUCUAGUGGUUUGUGGGUUCGAGCCCUGCAUGGGGGAGUGCACUGACAGCUCAG